AGGUGAAGAACUCUGGAAUGACUCUUCGCCCAAAAGACGUUUACACUACGCUUGUAGGCGUUGCCCAAGGAUGGGGCCGCGACCGAUCAGGUAGUUGGUGAGGCNNCGGCUCACCAAGCCUUUUACCGGUGCGAGCCGUGGGAGCGGGAGCCCGGAGAUGGGCACUGAGACAAGGGCCCAGGCCCUACGGGGCGCAGCAGUCGCGAAAACUUUGCAAUACACGAAAGUGUGACAGGGCUAUCCCGAGUGCCAUCCGCUGAGGAAGGCUUUUACCCAGUAUAAAUCGCUGGGGGAAUAAGGAGAGGGCAAGACCGGUGUCAGCCGCCGCGGUAAUACCAGCUCUCCGAGUGGUGUGGAUGUUUAUUGGGCCUAAAGCAUCCGUAGCUGGCUGGACAAGUCCCCUGUUAAAUCCACCGAUUUAAUCGUUGGUGUGCGGGGGAUACUGUUCGGCUAGGGGACGAGAGAGGCCGACGGUAUUUCCGGGGUAGGGGUGAAAUCCUAUAAUCCCGGGAAGACCACCAGUGGCGAAGGCUGUCGGCUAGAACGCGCCCGACGGUGAGGGAUGAAAGCUGGGGGAGCGAACCGGAUUAGAUACCCGGGUAGUCCCAGCUGUAACGAUGCAGGCUAGGUGUUUGAACGGCCACGUGCCGUUCUAGUGCCGCAAGGAAGCUGUUAAGCCUGCC
RNAcentral lists this ribosomal RNA (683 nucleotides) under uncultured crenarchaeote. Its description in RNAcentral is "bacterial SSU rRNA". It matches the Rfam family "Archaeal small subunit ribosomal RNA", at positions 156 to 825 of the family's 1478-position model. Lineage: Archaea; Thermoproteati; Thermoproteota. The record is from RNAcentral.